Molecule: ribosomal RNA, 579 nt
Filed under: Trichoderma sp. TRT064793
Lineage: Eukaryota; Fungi; Ascomycota; Sordariomycetes; Hypocreales; Hypocreaceae
Description: eukaryotic LSU rRNA
Rfam family: 5.8S ribosomal RNA (bases 225-378)
Source: RNAcentral
GUAGUGAACUGCGGAGGGAUCAUUACCGAGUUUACAACUCCCAAACCCAAUGUGAACGUUACCAAACUGUUGCUCGGCGGGAUCUCUGCCCCGGGUGCGUCGCAGCCCCGGACCAAGGCGCCCGCCGGAGGACCAACCAAAACUCUUAUUGUAUACCCCCUCGCGGGUUUUUUACUAUCUGAGCCAUCUCGGCGCCCCUCGUGGGCGUUUCGAAAAUGAAUCAAAACUUUCAACAACGGAUCUCUUGGUUCUGGCAUCGAUGAAGAACGCAGCGAAAUGCGAUAAGUAAUGUGAAUUGCAGAAUUCAGUGAAUCAUCGAAUCUUUGAACGCACAUUGCGCCCGCCAGUAUUCUGGCGGGCAUGCCUGUCCGAGCGUCAUUUCAACCCUCGAACCCCUCCGGGGGGUCGGCGUUGGGGAUCGGCCCUUUACGGGGCCGGCCCCGAAAUACAGUGGCGGUCUCGCCGCAGCCUCUCCUGCGCAGUAGUUUGCACACUCGCAUCGGGAGCGCGGCGCGUCCACAGCCGUUAAACACCCCAAACUUCUGAAAUGUUGACCUCGGAUCAGGUAGGAAUACCCGU